This 444-nucleotide ribosomal RNA is filed under the name uncultured bacterium. RNAcentral's name for it is "bacterial SSU rRNA". It matches the Rfam family "Bacterial small subunit ribosomal RNA", at positions 355 to 796 of the family's 1533-position model. The record is from RNAcentral.
UGAGGAAUAUUGGUCAAUGGACGCAAGUCUGAACCAGCCAUGCCGCGUGAAGGAUGAAGGCGUUCUGCGUUGUAAACUUCUUUUAUCUGGGAAGAAACCUCCGAUUUCUAUUGGAGCCGACGGUACCAGAGGAAUAAGCACCGGCUAACUCCGUGCCAGCAGCCGCGGUAAUACGGAGGGUGCAAGCGUUAUCCGGAUUCACUGGGUUUAAAGGGUGUGUAGGCGGGCAGUUAAGUCAGUGGUGAAAUCUCCGAGCUCAACUUGGAAACUGCCAUUGAUACUAUCUGUCUUGAAUACUGUUGAGGUAGGCGGAAUAUAUCAUGUAGCGGUGAAAUGCAUAGAUAUGAUAUAGAACACCAAUUGCGAAGGCAGCUUACUAAGCAGUUAUUGACGCUGAGGCACGAAAGCGUGGGGAUCAAACAGGAUUAGAUACCCCCGUAGUCC